AACGAACGCUGGCGGCGUGCUUAACACAUGCAAGUCGAACGGUAAGGCCCUUCGGGGUACACGAGUGGCGAACGGGUGAGUAACACGUGGGUGAUCUGCCCUGCACUUCGGGAUAAGCCUGGGAAACUGGGUCUAAUACCGGAUAGGACCCUGGGAUGCAUGUCCUGGGGUGGAAAGCUUUUGCGGUGUGGGAUGGGCCCGCGGCCUAUCAGCUUGUUGGUGGGGUGAUGGCCUACCAAGGCGACGACGGGUAGCCGGCCUGAGAGGGUGACCGGCGACGCUGGGACGGAGCUACGGCCCAGACUCCUACGGGAGGCAGCAGUGGGGAAUAUUGCACAAUGGGCGCAAGCCUGAUGCAGCGACGCCGCGUGAGGGAUGACGGCCUUCGGGUUGUAAACCUCUUUCAGCACCGACGAAGCGCAAGUGACGGUAGGUGCAGAAGAAGGACCGGCCAACUACGUGCCAGCCGCCGCCGUAA
This 478-nucleotide ribosomal RNA is filed under the name uncultured bacterium. RNAcentral describes it as "partial 16S ribosomal RNA". It matches the Rfam family "Bacterial small subunit ribosomal RNA", at positions 28 to 523 of the family's 1533-position model. The record is from RNAcentral.